Molecule: long non-coding RNA, 494 nt
Filed under: Mytilus galloprovincialis (Mediterranean mussel)
Lineage: Eukaryota; Metazoa; Mollusca; Bivalvia; Mytilida; Mytilidae
Source: RNAcentral
CCCAAUUUAUCGUCCUCGUCUUUGUUUUUCGUGAAAUAAUUGACAAGCUUCGCUAUUAGUAAAGCAUAAAUUUAGCUGUCGGUAUUUAAACUUCUUGGAUACUGUUCCGACAUUCAAGGUACAACAUGUUUAUAUAAAUUGAAGAAGAAUGUGAACAAUUACUAAGUUUUAUCAUAAUAUUUAUGUAAAUGAGAUGGACACUUCUUAGUACUAUUAUAAAGACCUACACGCUGAAUCUUUUUUUUUAUUUCUCCUUUGAACACCUUAUUCCAUACUCUUGCGUGCUAAAACAAUAAUUGGAGACUUGGAAAAUUAGAUUAAAACAAAAAUUUAAGUCUUUGGUUUGAUCUAAACAGAAGUUAAAACAUCUUCCAAAUAAGAGGCUAGCAGCCAAAUUUUAAUGGUGUUAUUUUAUUACAACAUGCCCAUGUGUAUUUUGCUUUUACUCAAAGUCUUAAGUUGGCCAUCGCACUACAGCGUAACCACCAUCGCAC